GCGCUUCAUCUUCUCCUUGGGAAGACUCUUGGUGAAGGCGGGAGCUGGCGAAUCAAACGCCGCCAUCCACGUGUGAGCCAGGGCGUCUUCGCAGGACAUGCGUCGCCUACGAGACGGACACAGAGGAAGGCCACAACAUUAGAGCUGAUGAAAUGUUUGGCCUGCUCCGUGAUGUCCCCGAAGCUCUCCUCAUCAAACUCCCACUGGGCCGCCGUCACCAAGGCUAACGUGUCGGCGUCGCUGCUUCCCUGGAAAGGACACCACAGGGGGGCUGCCGGUGAAUCGACACUUGACCCUCGCCGGAUGUCCCGCUUUCACCUCUACGAAUUGCGGCGGGUUCUCCAAGCGCAACAUCGGACCUGCCCGGAUGAGUGCCAAAAAAAUAUAUAUUCUAAACCCCGUCGCUCUUAAGUCUCUUUCGUAUCAAGACUUCUUCAACAUCCUGUAGGUGUCACGGCCGGCGUACCGAGACUUUUAUUCAUUUAUUACUGUCCACACCCGCAAAUAAAAAGUAAAAUGAAGCACAGCAAGUCACAGCAUUAGACGUAAGGAGUAGAAAACAAAGAAGGACAAAAUCUUACCUGUCCCUGAGUUGGCUUUCUUCUUCGGAAUGACCUCUGCAAGGGAAAGACGGGAUAUUUAUAAAGGAGUGGGGUGCUAUUGUAGUCUUGGCUUCCCUUUAUGCCACUUGUAAUCUUUGGAGAAAUUUCCUGACGUCUCUGGAGCGCCGGAGAUGACACGUUUUCCUGUUUUUGCUUCCGUAAGACGUUUGCUCAAGGGGUCCUUUUUUGGAGGACCCUUGGAGAUUUUCAAAAUGGCUUCUUUUUUUGUGGGUUUAAUCAUUCUAUACGUGCCAACCAAAAUUAAUUAAACUGCUGGCUUUGGGGGAUUUUUCUUCAAUGCUAAUAAUAAUAAUUAAAAAAACAAACCUCUUGGAGAAGCGACUGGACUCUGCGGGUCUGAACUCGUAGGGGAAGUACCAGUGGAGCCUCUGGAGUUGUCAUUCAUGCUUGCCUCAUUUGCAGAAGCUCGACUCUGCACGCCACAAAUAGUUUCAAAGUCUGUUGGGCCACAAAAUGGCAAGAUAAGAGUUUUAUAAUGUGACAAGACGAGUGCAGCUAGAUGACAUUCUUCAUUCUAAUUGGUCCUCGCCUGUGACAAAGACAGCAGCGCAACAGGAAGUCUUCCCCGACGCGUUUUCCGCCACGCAGGUAUACGUGCCGGCAUCCUCCGGCAGACACUCACGCACGACCAAGCUGACGUUGCCUUCAUCCAGGCUGGGAAUUCCAAAACGAGCUGCCUCACCUGAAAGUUCACACCGAGAAAAGUGCUCAUAUCUAUAUUCUUUUAUUUCGACAGAUCUUUCCUCACCGUUGUGCAACCACGUGACUUUGAUGGGUCGACUCCCAGAGACGACACCGCUUAGGGGGAUAUCGUGGCCUUCAUCCACGCGGCAGUCACGCAAAGGGCGCACGAAAACCGGGGGGUCGCCGCGCUGGUGAGAGGGAGGAGUGCCUGGACGCAUGAUCGAUCAAGUGAUCAAAUAACCAAGCAGCGCACUCACCCGCAUCUGUCGUCACGCUCUCUGAGCCUCUCGGUGCACUCCCAGACUUGAUGUGCAUCCUGAAGCCGAGUUCCUGUCUUCUUGCGGCCGACGUGUGACAAAACAAGGCCGGCUCACUGUGCGUCCUCGCAACCACCCCCAGCGAGAUCCAGCUAGACUCCGCCCUCCCACCAGCAGCGCUACCAUCAACCUGCCCGCUACAUGCACCUUAUCGACGCUCAAAAGACCUUUCAACAUAUCAACACAAGGUGGAGACGUAUCUAGAGCCACCCAGCCAAAGGUCUCAUUGUGCUCAUUAUUUGUUUCGCUGUUUGCUGCGGGUGACUUGUCAAACAGAAGAGUCUGUUGGUGACCUGUGGAGGCGGGGUCAGCGCCCACUUGUGGACUGUAAAAAGUCUCAUAAAUGUUCAACUGUGCAGAUAUGAUGUCAUCCACCUGUGGAAGAAGAUGCCUUGGAGGCCCCCCUGUGGGAAACAUCUGCUCUUCAGGUGGCACUUCAACUGGCAUUUGUGGAUAUCACACCAAUGAGCCCCCCCCCCUCCCC
Long non-coding RNA from Syngnathus typhle (broad-nosed pipefish), 2108 nucleotides. RefSeq lists it as uncharacterized. The record is from RefSeq and is a predicted model, not a curated record. Lineage: Eukaryota; Metazoa; Chordata; Actinopteri; Syngnathiformes; Syngnathidae. The transcript is spliced from 5 exons.